GCUCCCGGGGCACCACCAGCCCGGAGCAGGGCUGCUCGCAGCCGCCUCUGCACAAACACGGGCAUGAGAUGAUUUCCCCCCUCGGAGGCCCAAGGAAGGGGCUUCACCAGCCGUGCGUGCACCCAGGGCAGCGACGGGCACAGCCCCGGCCCUGCUGGGCCGUGCGGCCCCCCCCCCCCGGCCCCGUGCCACUUCUCGCCCCCUCCGCUGCCUCUUCCAAACCCACCGGCCGGGGCUGCGCGCCGCACGGUCUGCGUCCCAUCUGCUCGCCUGGCCCCCGGCCAGCCUUCAAUACACCCGGCUCUGGAUCCGCACGCAGUAAACAUUUACAAUUUUAGGAAAUUUUACCCUUAAUUUAUCCCAAAGGCACGCAAGCAAAGUUCAAAGCCGUAAACCCGCUCUCUCGCCGCCGAGCGCGGCAACCAGGACGUGAACUUUAGCUGAAGAGCAAGAAAUUCCUCAGCUUCCACGAGGCAAAUCCCCACCGGUGUCAGGCAAAAAGGGGGAGGCAGGCGAAGGAGCAGGGCUGCAGGGAGGGGACAUGGAUGCCACCAACAUCCCCUCGUGCAAAACGCCGGCUCACAGCAGGCUCGGGGACCCCCAUAACGCUUGCACGGCCGUAUCCUGCAGACACGGGCUGUUCGAGGCCAUGGCAAAGAGUUCAGAGCCAGCCCAAAGCUUUUUUGUCAAAAUAACACCACACCACGGGCUCGCCGAGCCAGGGCCGCCAAACACUCCCCAAACAACCUCGCUGCUCGCCCAAGGCAGUGCUUGGAGCGGCGCAGCCAUGCGUUGUUCUCCUCCGGUGUUUACCCAGCGCCACGCUUUCAAUGCAGGUAUUACCUUUAGGUUACAGACUUAGCUAAAACACAUAGGUUUUUUUGUUUGUUUUUUUUUUCCCCAGCCCGCUAUUGUUCGGGUUUGCUCUGCGUCCCGGUCCCCGCACCGGCGCUGCCUCCCCUCCUCCUUCAACCCACUUCAGCCGACCGCAGACACGAAGCUCAGCACCCCCAGAACCUCGCUGCAUCCUCCUGCCCCCUGCCAACCUCCGAGCCGUCACCUCUCCGGAUAAACUGGCCGAGGAAGAUGGGGAAGCCCUCGGAGGCAGCCGGCUGAGAACGCAGGAGCAUCCCCCGGGAGGUGCUGAGCAAACGGGGGCCGUCGCUCAGCCAAAAGGUGGUGGCAGUGGGCACCCUCCUGUCCCAGCACCGGACACGUCCCACGGCAAGCGGCUGCUGCUGAGAGCAGCUUCCAACCCUCGACAUCGGAGCAGGAGACAAGCAAAGAAGCGGCCGUCGUGCAAGGCUGGCCAACGGCAACUGCUUUGUGACGGUCGGCUCGCAUCGACAGCCCGAUCGCACCGGGGGGGUCCCGAUGUGUCGGGGCCAUUUAUUCCCCCGGGGGUUGAGAAUCUGUGCCCUUAUCUGCCCGGUUAUUUAUGUCCCUGUUUGAUUUAUGAGUCAGCCUCACGCACGGGGUAAAAGUUCACGUCUCCCCCUAUCCGCGGAGCACAAAGCCACAUCUCACGGCUCCGCACCUUCCUGCUCUCCUCUCUCUUUCGCUGUGUUUUGACCCCGGCCCGGGAAGGCUCAGGGAGGCUCGACCUGCACCCAGCUCCCCUCAGAGCCCCUGUAAACCCCACCUGCUCGCUCAGGAUCUGGCCCACAGCACCAACCUCGCCUGGCUGCGGCCGUGCAGGGCCGGUGCUGGCAAAGCGAGCAGGAGACGGACCCGGGCUCGCUCCCGGCAGCGACUGCACUAAUUCUGCUCAGCCUGGUGGUGUGUAAUGAAAUGCAGGGACCCAGCGCAGCCUGCACCACCGACAAAUCUCCAUUUGCACAGUCAAGGUCUACCUAGGUAAAAAGCUAAAAGAUAUUCGUAAGCAGCUCAAAGCGUAACUUCCCGUGCCCACGCCACCGCUGCGCUGCUGCGCACAGCGUUACAUCCUUUCACCCAGAGGUGCUCUCAUGUGCACGUAACGAUGUUACACGUUCGUACAGGGAAAUACCUGAAAUAACCCGAACUCAGCUCCCUGCUCCAAUGUGCUUUGGGAAAAGCAAAAUUUGGAACCUUUUACGGUUGCCCUUUCACAUGCAGGGUGCUCAGAGCAAAGAAAUAAAUGCGUAAGAUCACCAAAUGCUGACUUCAAAGUGAACAAUCUGCUCUCAAAUAUGUUCUUUUCCAAAAUCUCCCUUCAAGAUGCAAGGAAAAGCGUAAAAAAAAAAAGGAAAUUCAGCCCCAGGAAGAGUGGAUGGAGGCUCGGGGCAGGCUCAGCUGCCAAGGGCAGCUGCCCCGACCCCCUAAAGCCGCGCACCUUUACAUCGGCACCGUGUGGCACCCAGCUCAUCAUCCCUGCCAACAUCCAGAUGCGUCCGUGCGUCAGUUCGGGAAGGGCUGCAAAGCACCAGAGGAAGCAGCACCCACGGGAUCACCAUCCUGCAGCCUUGCUCGGGGGCAGGGACGGUGCCUGCAAGCAGGGGGUGCCCUGGGGGGCCGGUGGUGAGGACAGCCUGGGGCAGAGCAGAGCAGGGACGGGGCUCUGGGCAUCCUGGCUCAGUUCAAGCUCGUCCCCACCUGGGUUAGGGCCCCGCCGCUGGCCCCAGCUGUGCCCCGUUAGCAGCCUCACGGAGCCGUUUGGCCCAAAUGUUGAAAUACCAUCACCUUGGGGCAGAAAUCCACGUUGCUCUUCCCCGUCCCCGUGUCCCUGCUGCCACCCCACCAGCCAGCACCCAGCACCCACAUGCACCGAUCCAGCUAAACAGCACCCUAAGGACGGGAAUUCUGCCUGCAGAUGACCCUCAGUUGCACUGCAACGUGAGCCAGGGCCCCCUUCCUCCACUUUGAAAUGUUUAGUUUGGGGCUAUUUUUAAAUACCCUAAGAAGACCCUAACACCAGACCUUGUUAACUCUGUUUCACUCAGCUUAGAGCUGCAGAAAUGCCCACCCAAAUUUAAAUUUUUUACAUAUUCGUAUUGGCACACGCUUAAAUCAAGUGAAUUUAAUGAUGUGGCUGCACUGAUCGCGGGUAGGGCUAGAGCUGGAGGGAGAUACAGAACCUUUUAAAGGCUAUUAAAAUAUUUUUAAAAAUUGAACACGCAGAAGCUGGGUGGUCCAAAAGCAGGGCUGGGAUUACGGCCCACCUAUAAAAAUUCCCAAUAAUACCUGCCAGUUAACGUUUACAGCUUCAUACAAACCCGCCAACCCUCUCCCUUUUGUACGAUUCCUUAAACCAUCAGCACAUUUCACAUAGAAAAUGUUACACGGCAAGGAAAUCUCAGCGCAGAGGACCAAGCUGGGGUGGCAGAAGAGUUGGGGGAAUUAUUUAAUUUUUUUCUUUGCUCUGUCCUCCAGUUCCCGUGCACAACAAGCUCGGCAGCCAGCGACACGCACGGCCCCGAUCGCUUACAGGGAACAAAAGCCUCGAGCACGGCGAGGAAAGGCGGACAAAUCGGGUGAAUAAAGACCUAAUUCUUCCCUUCUGGGGGCGAGGAGAACCUGAGAGAUGCCAAAGCCCAGCUAUGCAGAGGCAGACACGUAGGCGUGUUUGUAUCUCACUCGUCGUCUCCUGGACAUCUGAAGCGACGCCGGGACAGAGCUCGGUCCCUGGCUGUGGCUGGGAACAGGCAGAGAGCUGACGGAUGGACAGACGGACGGACAGAUGGACGGAUGAGCUGGGCUGGAGGCAAUGGGACCCCAAGGGUGCUGCCACCCACUGCAGGAGGCUCCUCAGCCACUGGCUGCCCCGGCGGGGCCGUGGGGGGAACGGGUGAUGGCCGGGGGGUGGAUGAGCACCAGGGGAUGGAUGAGCACCGUGUGUCUGCACUUGCAUGCUGAUGAGGAUCAGCACCAGAAGCUAAGAGCAAAAUUAGGAGUAGGAAAACGUUUUCUCCUCUCCCCUCUCCUGCAACGUCACCACUAAAAGGCGCCGGGGAGAGUGUGGAAAAGCCCCAGCGCGGCUCCUUUAUGCAGCCCCAAAACCUGGAACUAAACAAUUUACUAACAGAUGUAGCCAUAAAAGGCCCUAUUAUCGCAUCUUGUACAGUAACAAUGUCUUCAUUCAAGUCGCUUCCCCUCCUCUGAGGGUUUAUUUUUAAACCGUGCUGCUAAAGAGAGGAACGGGCCACUGCGGCGGCAAAGAGCGAGCCUCUCGCUCAAAGUGAGCCUUGUUUGGCAUUAUCUUGAUAAGAUAAACAGGGAUAAUGGCUUUUUCUUCCUCUGCUCUCUUCUUUGCCCUCUUUCGUUUAUUUUAACGCGAACAGGAACUGAACCAGCGAGCUUUGCAGAUCAAAGCCGGGCAGAGACCUUCGCGGGAAGGGGCAGGCGAGCACCAGGUUUCCAGGCCUCAACCCGGGGUGGGGGCAGGAGCAGGGCCCCGACACCCACCCAAGGCCCCCCUGGGAGCGGGCAGCAGCUCCUGGCACGGCCCCAAAGCUGAGCAUCCUCCAAGGGGCACCCCCUCGGUCCCAAAGCGGGGCCAGGAAGCGCAGCGGAGCAGGGCGAGGAGCGGGCUGCGAGGCUCCCGGGUGGCGCUGGGGAUUUGCUCUGUCGGGAGUCCCUGACUCCUCUCCGGGGCGAAUUUUUGGGGAGUGAGUCCGGGCAUCAAACAAGCCCUCCAGGCAGAGCUUAUGCAAGAGAAGAUGACUCAAAGUGGCGGCGUAUGUACACCUGGAGGGCAGGGACAAAAAGCAUGAGGAGGCUGAGGGGAAGAGGAGGAAGGGAGGAAGCUGCCAGGCAAGCGGGCAGAUACAAAGGGGCCCCCGGGUCUCCAGCGAUAGCACGGUUGAUAGCAAAGGACACAAAGGUCCGUGUCGUCCCUCAGGAUCUGCUCACGCAGUGCCCACCACGGGAAGGGAGGCAGGCAGCCAUUGCACAGACUUUCCACAGAGCCAGCUGUCUCUGCUGAGUAUUACAAAUCAGGCAAAAACCCUCCUCGGUCUAGACACUUAAGUAAAGGAGAAGGAGGAAGAAGUGAGAGAGAAGAGGAGGGGAGGCUGUUUAUCCAGGCGGCGGUGUAAACGCUAACAGCAGGCGAGGGGCUCGCAGCCAGCAGCCCAGUUCCCAGCCGCGGUUUGGAGACUUCCCCGCUAAGCCCGGAGCUCUCUGCACAGGGCCACAAAUACAGGCUGCAGAAGGCACCCGGCCCUACGAGCAUCCUUCAAUAAAUGGGAAGAUUUGGCCCCUUUCUCCGAUGUGACUUCGCACAGCACUCGCAGCCGGCUGCCUGGGGAGCUGCAGCUGCUGCUACCUACGGCCAUGCACUGAAAACCCACCCCAGGAGCAGGAGCACCCGGGCUGAGACAGGAUUCAGCACCGUGAAGUGAAGAGGAUCCCGGGCCUCGCUGGGUCCAGAGACCUCGUUUGUGCUGGGGAAGUCUCCUCCACAAAUCCACGUUCACUCAACCCAGGCUCCAGCAACGCAGCUGCCGUGAGCAAACCCAGCUACCUGGUUUUUAAGGACCAGGAAAAUGUUUGCGCUUUGCUCCCGAUCCAAGGACCGGAAAACAAGGUCUCCGCUCCAUCCCUGCACCUCUCCGCACCAGAGACUGAGCAGCAAAGCGCAGUAAGACCCCAGCUUUAACUUCCUGGCACUGCAACAGACUGGAAAGCAGAAGGAGCGGUGCGGGGAGCAGCUCCAGCAGCCCGAGCUGCGGCACUCCAGUUACCCCAGGCAGGCACCAGCCCUGGGCUGCUGGGACCAGCACUGCCCAGGUCCAUCCGCAGGACUCCUGACCAUCCAGGCACUGCAGAGAACAAACGUUUUCCGGCGCAGAAAACAUCUGGUGGCUCUGAAGGCAGCUCAGUGAGAACACCGCAGGCCACAGAGGUUUCCCUCUGCAGGUUCAUGCCCUGAGCGCCCGUGGAGGUUUCCUCCCUGCAGGACCAACCAUGCACCAUAACAAGGAGCUGUUCUGAGAGAGGCUGAGCGUGUCGGGGUGCCUGUGAGCACGCUGAUUUAAUUAUUCAUGCAGAUUUCACUUCCCAGGAACAAUUUUUUUUUGGAUAUGGGGUUAAGCCAAAACACCACGGUCAGUCUGGCUUCUGCUUAUCACCGCGAGCCCUCGCUGUGCUGCAAACCGAGCGCCUCGAAGCAGUCCUGCAGUGCCUGCUCAGGCUCCAAACAACUUUGGAAACUCAAUCCGAAAUGGCAAAAGCUCCUGUGAAAGGCAUCGAGAGGAGCAAGCAAAGGGCGAGACACUGCCUGACACGUUUCGCACACAUUUGUAAACAGAUCACCCGUGGGGAAAGCGAUUCAAGCCUGCCUUGUCUUGCUUUCCAGCCAGAGCUCGCUUUCCAGCCACCUGCUUCCUUUUUCUCAUGACCAAGAAGCGGUUUAAUAUCUGUUUACAAUAAAACGCUGUUUUCUGAAGGGCAGAGAGGUGCGAGGAUUUUGCAGGAGGGCAUUUCUUUAUCUGCUCUGCUGCUUGGGCAGGUGAGCGUGGGGCGUCUGUCCCGGCACAACCCCGCGAGCAAGGGGAGCGCCCUUUCCGGACACCCAUGCAACCUCAUUUAAUUAAGCUGAGAUCUGCUUUGCUGCAAAAAACCAUGCAUUUGUGCUCCCAAAGCCUCUCUGCACCUUCGCAGAGGUCGGGACAUCCUCACCAUCAGCACAUCGAGCACCUUCCCGCUGCCACUCACGGCACGGGGCCGCAGCUCCUCAGCCCUCGCGGUUAAUUAGCGGUGAUGAGAAUUGCACCCGAGGAGCCACAAGGCACCCGUGCUCGCUCGAGGGACGCAGGAACGGGCGUCCUGUUUAGACCGACGGGCUGCAGCAAACGCUUUGUGGGUCACCAGCACCUUCCAGACUUUCCUCUUCCCCGGAGCGCCAGCAGCGGUGAAAGCUCACCCCGUUACGUCUCCGUCUUCCCUUUUGGCAAAGGGGAAAACAUUCACGAGUCGGAAAAGACCAGCUCCCUCGGGACACCGACCCGGGCGUUCCCGUGCACAUCCUCCAUCUGAUAAAGAGGCCAGCAGCGAGGAGUCGACCCCACAUUUCGAUCCCACCCGAGCUUUAUGAGCUCCACCGCAGAUCUAUUCAUGAGCAGGAGACGGAGAUCGUGUGUGUGCGUGUGCGAACGGCAGAGAAACACCCAGCGUGUCUUCUGCUGCCUCAGCCCACAAUGAUUUCCAUUCAUUCAAAGAAAACACAGUAUUAAAUUUUUGCCUGGUUUCAAUCUCCGUACAUUAAUCAAGCCUCAGCUUUUUCUCUUUUCCUUUUUUUUUUUUUUUCCCCAGCCUGAGAGACACAGCGUGGGAGGCACAGGCUGUCCCAUGAAAUAAUAUUUUCCAAGCCGCAGUCAAAGUCUGCCCGUCAACCCGAAGCCUCCUUUCUGUCUGUUUUACCAGAGCUGGACAGGAAACAAUCUGCGGGCACAAGAGAUCGAAACCCGGCCAGCGUUCCCAGCACGACGCUGAUGAAUGGGAGCCAUUGUGCUGCAGGGGAGGAAACAUCCCCAUCGUCAUCGGGGAAAAACUACAGCUGUCUGCAUCGCCUGCACACGCACAGGGGUGUCCUGCAGCUGCACAGGAGCAGACACGGGGCAGCUCGGUGGCACGGCGUGCUCCACCGGCAAAACCAGGCACCUCUCCCUUUCCUUACAGUGGGGACAGCAUCUGAGGUUAGUGAGGCUCGGCUCCUUGGCAAAACAACACCUGCAGCUUGCAGAGGAGCGAGCAACAGAACAAACCCCGUGGGAUUUUGCCUGCCCCGGUGCUGCCGAAGGAGGGAUCGGGACCUUCCCGAGGCGCUUGGGCUCUAACCGAGAUGCGCUCCCUGGGUGAUGCAGCCAUGGGUGCCUCUGUCCCCAGGCAGGUCCCAGCCCCGGCAACGCCCAGGGGACACGAGGAGGGACACCCUGAUCCCUGCUCCAGUGCCCAAGUCCAAGAAAUGGGGGCUGAGUUUCAGCCGAGCGAUGCAAACCCGCGGGAGAAAGCAUCUCCCUGGUUCCUGGAGGUACCCGGUCUCAUCCUGGGGCAGUUUUGCCCCAAAGCUGCCUACCCAAUUUUUAACCUUUAACUUAUUUGCAUCCCCAGUGCCCUGUUGGGACCCGGUGUCCGCACCACACACGACGUAACAAAAUAUUUCAAACUAUUUUUCAGGUUUUUAGUCCUUUAUGUACGCACAGGCCGGCAGGAGCUCGGCUGUUACCACCUAGUGUCAGGCAGGAGAGGAGCAGCAACCCCGCACGGACGGGGACAGCUCGGGCACGGCUCUUCCCUGGGGUCCCACGGGGCGAGCCCCCAGCCCGCGGGGCAAACCCGAGACCUCCUCGCUCUGCCCACGUGGCACCCAGCAGGAACGGGGGCUUCUGAAAAACGCUGCUGUGGUUCAACUUCUCUUCCCGUUUUUUUUUUU
This is a long non-coding RNA of Cygnus olor (mute swan), 8353 nucleotides long. RefSeq lists it as uncharacterized. Lineage: Eukaryota; Metazoa; Chordata; Aves; Anseriformes; Anatidae. The record is from RefSeq and is a predicted model, not a curated record. The transcript is spliced from 2 exons.